Molecule: ribosomal RNA, 225 nt
Filed under: uncultured Desulfosporosinus sp.
Lineage: Bacteria; Bacillati; Bacillota; Clostridia; Eubacteriales; Desulfitobacteriaceae
Description: partial 16S ribosomal RNA
Rfam family: Bacterial small subunit ribosomal RNA
Source: RNAcentral
CGCGUAGGCGGAUGGUUAAGUCCGGUGUGAAAGAUCAGGGCUCAACCCUGAGAGUGCAUCGGAAACUGGGCAUCUUGAGGACAGGAGAGGAAAGUGGAAUUCCUAGUGUAGCGGUGAAAUGCGUAGAUAUUAGGAGGAACACCAGUGGCGUAGGCGACUUUCUGGUCUGUAACUGACGCUGAUGUGCGAAAGCGUGGGGAUCAAACAGGAUUAGAUACCCUGGUA